Flavobacterium johnsoniae is the source of this 78-nucleotide non-coding RNA. The record is from Rfam. Lineage: Bacteria; Pseudomonadati; Bacteroidota; Flavobacteriia; Flavobacteriales; Flavobacteriaceae.
GUGUAGCCCCGAUAGAAGUGGAAAUCCUUUUGUACCGGGGUUCGGUACAAAAGAUUGAAACGGAUAGCGGGACCUCAG